UAUCCGUAGGUGAACCUGCGGAGGGAUCAUUACAGAGUUCAUGCCCUACCGGGUAGAUCUCCCACCCUAUGUUAUUAUUACUUUGUUGCUUUGGCGGGCCGUUAGGCUCCGGCCCGACUACCGGCCCCGGCUGGUAAGCGCCCGCCAGAGGACCCAAAACCCUGAAUAUUAGUGUCGUCUGAGUACUACAUAAUAGUUAAAACUUUCAACAACGGAUCUCUUGGUUCUG
Molecule: unclassified non-coding RNA, 229 nt
Filed under: plant metagenome
Description: partial contains small subunit ribosomal RNA, internal transcribed spacer 1, and 5.8S ribosomal RNA
Source: RNAcentral